GGGGCUGUAGCGCAGUUGGGAGCGCGGCUGCAUGGCAUGCAGUAGGUCGAGAGUUCAAAUCUCUCCAGCUCCACCA
RNAcentral lists this transfer RNA (76 nucleotides) under Candidatus Omnitrophota bacterium. Its description in RNAcentral is "Candidatus Omnitrophica bacterium tRNA-Ala". It matches the Rfam family "tRNA". Rfam says of the family: Transfer RNA (tRNA) molecules are approximately 80 nucleotides in length. Their secondary structure includes four short double-helical elements and three loops (D, anti-codon, and T loops). Further hydrogen bonds mediate the characteristic L-shaped molecular structure. tRNAs have two regions of fundamental functional importance: the anti-codon, which is responsible for specific mRNA codon recognition, and the 3' end, to which the tRNAs corresponding amino acid is attached (by aminoacyl-tRNA synthetases). tRNAs cope with the degeneracy of the genetic code in two manners: having more than one tRNA (with a specific anti-codon) for a particular amino acid; and 'wobble' base-pairing, i.e. permitting non-standard base-pairing at the 3rd anti-codon position. Lineage: Bacteria; Pseudomonadati; Candidatus Omnitrophota. RNAcentral also lists the same sequence under 1 other name. The record is from RNAcentral.